GGAGUUGUAGCUCAGUGGUACAGCACUUGCCUAGCAUGUGAGAGGCACUGGGUUCAAACCUCAGCACCA
This 69-nucleotide transfer RNA is filed under the name Marmota marmota marmota (Alpine marmot). It matches the Rfam family "tRNA". From Rfam's summary of the family: Transfer RNA (tRNA) molecules are approximately 80 nucleotides in length. Their secondary structure includes four short double-helical elements and three loops (D, anti-codon, and T loops). Further hydrogen bonds mediate the characteristic L-shaped molecular structure. tRNAs have two regions of fundamental functional importance: the anti-codon, which is responsible for specific mRNA codon recognition, and the 3' end, to which the tRNAs corresponding amino acid is attached (by aminoacyl-tRNA synthetases). tRNAs cope with the degeneracy of the genetic code in two manners: having more than one tRNA (with a specific anti-codon) for a particular amino acid; and 'wobble' base-pairing, i.e. permitting non-standard base-pairing at the 3rd anti-codon position. The record is from Rfam by way of RNAcentral. RNAcentral also lists the same sequence under 2 other names. Lineage: Eukaryota; Metazoa; Chordata; Mammalia; Rodentia; Sciuridae.